UGCGGGUGCUAUACAUGCAAGUCGAGCGGACAGAUGGGAGCUUGCUCCCUGAUGUUAGCGGCGGACGGGUGAGUAACACGUGGGUAACCUGCCUGUAAGACUGGGAUAACUCCGGGAAACCGGGGCUAAUACCGGAUGGUUGUUUGAACCGCAUGGUUCAGACAUAAAAGGUGGCUUCGGCUACCACUUACAGAUGGACCCGCGGCGCAUUAGCUAGUUGGUGAGGUAACGGCUCACCAAGGCGACGAUGCGUAGCCGACCUGAGAGGGUGAUCGGCCACACUGGGACUGAGACACGGCCCAGACUCCUACGGGAGGCAGCAGUAGGGAAUCUUCCGCAAUGGACGAAAGUCUGACGGAGCAACGCCGCGUGAGUGAUGAAGGUUUUCGGAUCGUAAAGCUCUGUUGUUAGGGAAGAACAAGUGCCGUUCAAAUAGGGCGGCACCUUGACGGUACCUAACCAGAAAGCCACGGCUAACUACGUGCCAGCAGCCGCGGUAAUACGUAGGUGGCAAGCGUUGUCCGGAAUUAUUGGGCGUAAAGGGCUCGCAGGCGGUUUCUUAAGUCUGAUGUGAAAGCCCCCGGCUCAACCGGGGAGGGUCAUUGGAAACUGGGGAACUUGAGUGCAGAAGAGGAGAGUGGAAUUCCACGUGUAGCGGUGAAAUGCGUAGAGAUGUGGAGGAACACCAGUGGCGAAGGCGACUCUCUGGUCUGUAACUGACGCUGAGGAGCGAAAGCGUGGGGAGCGAACAGGAUUAGAUACCCUGGUAGUCCACGCCGUAAACGAUGAGUG
This 792-nucleotide ribosomal RNA is filed under the name Bacillus velezensis. RNAcentral's name for it is "bacterial SSU rRNA". It matches the Rfam family "Bacterial small subunit ribosomal RNA", at positions 38 to 815 of the family's 1533-position model. Lineage: Bacteria; Bacillati; Bacillota; Bacilli; Caryophanales; Bacillaceae. The record is from RNAcentral.